AUAUGGUAUUCCAUAGUUAGAGUGUGUAGCACAUGUGUGUGCAUGUGUAUGUGUGUAUAUAUAUAUAUAUAUAUAUAUAUA
Molecule: microRNA precursor, 81 nt
Filed under: Tupaia belangeri (northern tree shrew)
Lineage: Eukaryota; Metazoa; Chordata; Mammalia; Scandentia; Tupaiidae
Description: miRNA (ENSTBEG00000020420.1)
Source: RNAcentral